GAUGAACGCUGGCGGCGUGCCUAAUACAUGCAAGUCGAGCGAACGGACGAGAAGCUUGCUUUUCUGAUGUUAGCGGCGGACGGGUGAGUAACACGUGGAUAACCUACCUAUAAGACUGGGAUAACUUCGGGAAACCGGAGCUAAUACCGGAUAAUAUUUUGAACCGCAUGGUUCAAAAGUGAAAGACGGUCUUGCUGUCACUUAUAGAUGAAUCCGCGCUGCAUUAGCUAGUUGGUAAGGUAACGGCUUACCAAGGCAACGAUGCAUAGCCGACCUGAGAGGGUGAUCGGCCACACUGGAACUGAGACACGGUCCAGACUCCUACGGGAGGCAGCAGUAGGGAAUCUUCCGCAAUGGGCGGAAGCCUGACGGAGCAACGCCGCGUGAGUGAUGAAGGUCUUCGGAUCGUAAAACUCUGUUAUUAGGGAAGAACAUAUGUGUAAGUAACUGUGCACAUCUUGACGGUACCUAAUCAGAAAGCCACGGCUAACUACGUG
Molecule: ribosomal RNA, 497 nt
Filed under: uncultured bacterium
Lineage: Bacteria
Description: partial 16S ribosomal RNA
Rfam family: Bacterial small subunit ribosomal RNA
Source: RNAcentral